AAACUAAAACUAUUAAUAAGUGAGAGUUUGGGUACGACGAAGGGUAAAAUCGUCAUUUGUACGCUGACAACUAAUUGGCUUCCACUUUUUCAUUCCAUUUCACAUUUCAUGCCCGUUUCUUCCGGAACUUUCUUGUGCCAUCUCCCGGUCAAACAACAAAUGGAGGCUUGUGAAGCUCUGGGUCUCCAUCUCUAAACACACCGAAAUUUCAUGUCUCGAACCCAAGUUCUGUCUGAUAACAGCAAUGGAGAGGCCAAAAACAUCAGAUUUAUAUGAAGCUAUGGGUCUCUAUUAUUAUCGACGGACCAACGGACGGUGGGCGUUCAUCAUCUGAACCUUGGGUCAUGAAAAAUAAAGAAAUGCUUAUCUCUUUCACCCACUAGGGGUACAUCGGAAUUUGGACCUCUCAUCCUUGUUUCCAGUAGAUGAAGAUUCAAAUGUUCAAUCACAGUCGGACAUGAGCUCCAGUAUAUUUACGUUUUAAUAUGUAACUGCAAACAAAAAAAGAAGUCCAAUCAGAAGAGUAAGUUAUUAUGUGAAAAUGCAAUCAACAAAAGGUGUUGAAUCCAGGUUCUCUCUAGGAGUUUGUUUCGUAUAUCCAUGCCAGCUUCUCCAUCUGUUCUUACUCAUUUCUGGGGCUCAGGAGGACUCUCCUUUUUUUCUCUUCUUUAAUCUCUCUCUCCAAAUACCCUUGAGUAAUCAUUGAAGUGGAUUAUGCACCCAAGAUGUUUGAUGAUAUUUGCCUGACUCCUCUUAUUUGCAGUAAUGAGAGGCUUGGUUGAAUUAGACUUGGAGGAAACAUUUGAGUAUUUUGCUGAAGUAGUUUGUAUGGAACAAGAAGGCUGAGUGCUAUAGAUACUCUCUCCAAAAUUCACAUGCAUCCUGAUCGGUGAGAUAAAAUUGAAUAUGGAGGAAGAAAAUAUUUCUCAGUCCUGCUAAAUUUUCAAAUAUUCUAUCUUGGUGAGGAUAUAAACCAUUGGCUCUAUUAUUUUUGCAUUUAUGCUUUAUUUUUCUUUUUAAUUCAAUGUAUAAGCAGUUUUUUUGUUUACAAGUAUAUGAUUUUUCCCCUUUUUAAUUUUUUAUGGGUAGAUUCUGAUUCAAGUAUAUGUGUGUUGUUUUUACUGUUUGAACGCUUCUACACUAGCCACAUCAGUUGCCAUCUUGGCAAAAAAAUCUAAUUAAAAGGGAAGAACUUUGUGCAGUUAAGGACGAUAUGCCUAACCCCAUAGGUGACUUUAACAUAAAUAUCUUUCCUUUUGCAAGGCCAUAACUUUUGAUACACAAAAAUAGAUUAUUUGAAAGAUGUUAUGCGGCGUAUCCUUUAUUGGGAAUCUAUUUUCAAAUUCAUUUGUAUCUAAAAGAAUGAAGCUUUUCAUGAAGAAAAUGAUUAUGGAUAAUUCUUUCAUGGUGUCCUACAUUUUGAUUGUGCUACAAUUAGUAAUGUUGCUUUGUCAAGAAUUCAUCAUUAGCUGAAAGUUCGUCCUAUCUCUUUGUCUGGUGAAUCUAUUUAAAUAGUAAGGUCUACAUGAUUAAUUUCAUUGAUUUUUCUGCUUUUAUUUGAUAUCUAGCUCAGUAAAAAUGUGCAUCCGGGUGAUCCUUCUAAUAUGUUUGUGAACUUAAUGGUGAUCAAAUGUAGUACUUUGAUAUUUGAACUCCUUGCUAGCCUCUCUAUUUUCAUUGUAUAAAUGAAAUUUGUUUUUUCUGUUUUCGUAUUUUCCUGGUGAUAUGUGACUUCUAAAACUAGGUUACUUUAUUAUUCGUUAAUUCAUGAGAUAGAUUCAUUGACUCCCCCGCGUUGUUUAUGCGGCACCAAGGUCAUAGUAUGUUGACUAUGUUCUGUUGUCGCUCAGAGGCAUGUUCAUAUGAAGAGGUAAGAGAAUGAAAUUCUUGCUUCCCCAAUAGACUAUAAAAGUUUCUUCAGGUUACUUUAAUUGUAAUACUAAUGGACGUGAUAUUUCAUUUACUGAAAUUUCGAUAUUUAUAGUAUAUAAAAGGAGUGGAAAGUUCCUACUGGUUUGGGGCAUAUUGGUAUAUUAUUCAUGAGGAAAUGGCUGCAAGAAGACAACAACAUAACACGAGAGAACUUUGUCAUAAAGUAAAAGGAGUGGGAGGUUCCUACAGGUUCGGGGCAAAUUGGCAUAUUAUUCAUGAGGAAAUGGCUACAAGAAGACAACAACGUAACACGAGAGAACUUUGAUGUUUAAGUAAUAAUAUACUCCUCUUUUCCAUUUUUCAGUGUAAUGAUUUCUUCUACAUUUAUUAUGUAUUACAUAUACUUCUGAUAUUGAGUUUUCUAUUAAAGGGUUCUAUAAAUGAAGAAUCUUUGAGUUCCAAAAUGCCUCUGGUAUGUGCAUUAUUUCAUUCAGUUCUGUUGAGUUUUUCUAUUAGUGCUUUUCUCAUUGCACCCGAUUAGCUAGCGGGAUUUUAGUGCGUAAUAAGUAGUUUUUCCGUACCUUUCGGUAGUUUCUUGUAAUUUUAAUUUCACACACAUGGCUAUUGAUAUCCAGUUUGCAUACUAAUGCAUCGAGGGUGUUUGGUAAUAUACCUAAAUCAACUCUUUUUCAAUAGCUUUUCUCUUUUGACAGUUUUUCUAUACUCCUGCAAUUUGAAAGGUGACUUUCCGUUGUAAAUUGAGCCAUGAAAUGAUGAACUACCCUCCGCUGAUAGUAUACACUGUCAGUAAUCAAGACGGGAACAACAUUACUGACAAACCAAUCUUGGACUAUAUCAUGAAGUCUCUUGGUCCAGAUUGUUUCUCCGCCUCUUCAAUGAGAAGAUCAGUUGGCGUUAUUACAGGAAUGCGCCACACCUUAAUUAAGUUUAACUGAAAGUGAGAGGCCCGGUCUACCAUCUGAAGUAAGUGCUUCCAUCACCAGUCUUAAAUGAAAUAUGGUGACUGAUGAAGUGUCGAACUGUAGUCCCGGAGCAAAAGCUAUAUUGCAAGUUAAUGAUGAGGAAAAUGGGGUUGGAAUUGCUGACCGAGAAAAGUUGUCUUGAUCAAGCAACCCCGACGCAAUGUUCUUAGACGUAGUAGAAAUUCAAGAGAUGUGACGACAUUUGGUAUAUCAGGGGGCCUCUCACACUGAGAGAAGGCUUGACUUGCUGAUGAUUGUAGACGGGGACUAUGAACAUGCAGCAGAGGAUCAGAUGAUAAAGAAAGGCCAGAUAUGUUGUUAAUUGGCAAGACACCGACUACUCAGUAGUGCCUAUUUGGUGCAAGGAUAGACUAAAACUUAUGUUGUGUAUGAUUUGUAGUUUGGCAGGUAUGCAACAUGUGGUUUUCCAUAGCAACGUCUAUGCUAAAGUACCAGAAACUUACUAGGAACACGGCUAUGAUUCUGCUCAAAUUUCCAUUGAUUCCUCAAAUCUCACUUCAGAGGCCACAUCUUCCUCUGCUUUUGUCUCUGUUGUCUUUCAUAAAGAAGGCACUAUUUAAUCACUAGCCAAAUCUGUCAAUCAAGCUUCACUUUGGAGUUCAAACUCUUCAGCUCCCAUAUGAGAAUCACGUUGAUGUUAUCUUUUAAGCAUGCAAAUAAAGCUCAUGCUUCCAGCUGGCAUGAAUUUUUCCAAAGUUCUGAUAUUUUUGUCAAGCUAAUUUAUGGAGUGGUCAAUUUUCGAAAGAGAUGGUGCUUCUUUUGUUCCUUAUGUAAAUGGGUUUUCUCAUUGAAGAUGAAGAAUGUACGACUUCACAAUCUUGUACAACUUUGUUCCUUAGUGUGUAAAUAUUAUGAAGUGUUAAAAGCUGAAACAAGUAGAAGUAUUCUCUUGGUGUUAGGAUCUUUUUAGUAUUCUUGUAACUGCCCAAAUAAUCAAAACAGUAAUGUUGGGCAUACGCCCGUGCACAGCACGGGCACGGGCCAUCUAGUGUCAUGAAUAAGAAUUAGUGACGUUCACAUGCUGAAACAAAUUUUGUCACAAACACUCAUUUGCAAUACUAUAGCAAAUUUGUUUACUUUGUAUGCAACACCACUUAUUUGCUAUUGAUCUUUCAAUCAAAAAUUGCUCGUUAUUACUAGGCAAAAAUGUUUUUAAGCCCUUUACAAAAAAAAAAUUUAUGAUCCUUUUACAUGAGAUCUCAUUUUGCAUAUAGUCAGAGCUCUUUAUAACGUCAUCCUCAUACCUUUCUAUAACAGGCAAGUUUUUUUCAGAAACAAUUUUUUAUGUUAUAUUCUACUUUUCGAUUUAUAACAGUUUUUUUACCUAUAACAAUACUAAUCAUCUGUAUAGCAGUUCACUUUUUGUAAAAUUACCUCUAUAUAACAUCUAUCUUUUUUUUUUUUUGGGUAAUAUAAUGAUUAAUCAUAUAUCUUUAUAGAAAUAGAAUAUCUAAGAGUAUCAAUAAUAGGUAUAGAGAUUUUGACCAAAUAUUUUGAUACUUUAAUACACUAAAUCUAUUUAUGGUGGGGGAGCAAGUCUUGUUGAAGGUUUCACCCAUGAAGGGUGUCAUGAGAUUUGGGAAGAGAGGUAAGUUGAGUCCCAGGUAUAUCGGCCCAUUUGAGAUCCUUCGUCGUAUUGGCGAGGUUGCAUAUGAGUUGGCCUUGCCACCAGGCCUGUCAGGUGUUUAUCCAGUUUUUCAUGUUUCUAUGUUGAAGAAGUACCAUUCAGACAGGUCUUAUAUUAUUCACUGGGAUUCGGUGUUGCUAGAUGAGAAUCUGUCAUAUGAGGAAGAACCUGUAGCAAUAUUAGAUAGGCAGGUUAGAAAGUUGCGGACCAAAGAAAUAGCCUCCGUGAAAGUUCAAUGGAAGGAUCGUCCGGUGGAGGAAGCUACUUGGGAGACUGAGGCAGAUAUGCGGAGUAGAUACCCUCAGUUAUUUGGCGGUUCAGUGCAGAGUACGAGAUCGGUACCACUUCUGUACCUCGACAUUGAUCCCGAGGCUAUCUGCGGAGUUUGCUAGGAUGUAAGUAUACUAA
Molecule: long non-coding RNA, 4911 nt
Organism: Lycium barbarum (goji berry)
Lineage: Eukaryota; Viridiplantae; Streptophyta; Magnoliopsida; Solanales; Solanaceae
Exons: 14
Source: RefSeq, a predicted model, not a curated record